Molecule: unclassified non-coding RNA, 179 nt
Filed under: rhizosphere metagenome
Description: partial ribosomal RNA internal transcribed spacer region
Source: RNAcentral
GUAGGUGAACCUGCGGAGGGAUCAUUACCGAAUGGCCCUCGGGCCGUCGACCCUUCAAACCCGUGGAAGAAAGAAGAUUGUGCUUCGGCGCCCCGGCGUCGUGUUUAUGCAGUGCCCAGUCCGUCGUCUGAACUUGAAACAAAAGAUUAAAACUUUCAACAAAGGAUCUCUUGGCUCUC